RNAcentral lists this ribosomal RNA (465 nucleotides) under Vreelandella stevensii. Its description in RNAcentral is "partial 16S ribosomal RNA". It matches the Rfam family "Bacterial small subunit ribosomal RNA", at positions 338 to 795 of the family's 1533-position model. Lineage: Bacteria; Pseudomonadati; Pseudomonadota; Gammaproteobacteria; Oceanospirillales; Halomonadaceae. The record is from RNAcentral.
CCUACGGGUGGCAGCAGUGGGGAAUAUUGGACAAUGGGCGAAAGCCUGAUCCAGCCAUGCCGCGUGUGUGAAGAAGGCCUUCGGGUUGUAAAGCACUUUCAGUGGGGAAGAAAGCCUUGGGGCUAAUACCCUCGAGGAAGGACAUCACCCACAGAAGAAGCACCGGCUAACUCCGUGCCAGCAGCCGCGGUAAUACGGAGGGUGCGAGCGUUAAUCGGAAUUACUGGGCGUAAAGCGCGCGUAGGCGGUCUGAUAAGCCGGUUGUGAAAGCGCCGGGCUCAACCUGGGAACGGCAUCCGGAACUGUCAGGCUAGAGUGCAGGAGAGGAAGGUAGAAUUCCCGGUGUAGCGGUGAAAUGCGUAGAGAUCGGGAGGAAUACCAGUGGCGAAGGCGGCCUUCUGGACUGACACUGACGCUGAGGUGCGAAAGCGUGGGUAGCAAACAGGAUUAGAUACCCCUGUAGUC